UUGGGUGGCUCGUCCAUUAAGGCUUGGGCUCGGCUCGCGAGUUCGAGCCCCACGCAUCCCGCCGCCUGCCGUCAGCCUGCACGGAGCCCCCAGGUUCUCUUUCUCCCUCUGUCCCCGCCCCUCCCUCCACUGGCGCGCAAGCGCUUUCACUAUCGUUCAGAAAUAAACAAAUAUGUACCCCAAAGUGUCCUUUACAAAUACUAAUGACACAACCAAGCCACCAUUGUAAUCCCGGUAGGUCUGAGGCUCUGCACAGCAGCGCGACACGCCAGGAGGCAGAGGCUCUCCUCCCUCUCCUUGUCCAGAAGGCUAGGCCACGGCUUGUCGUUCCCGUAGGGGCGUGAGUAGCCGCCAUAAUACGCGGUCGAGAAGGCAGAAAGGAAGAGACUGCCCCGUGGCGCCGAGGGCCGCUCUCGGGAGCGUGACCGCGAGCGGGAUCGGUAAGACUGGUUUCGCGACCCUUGGCCGAAGCCACCUAGCUGAUGGCUGAUACCAUUCCCGGAGCACGAGUGCGAGCUCGAGCUCGAGCGAGAGUUGCGGCCUCGCGGGGAGCGGGCGGAUUUGCUGAGCUUGGGGCUCUUCGACAAACUGCGACGCUUCCCCCCAGAGCCCGAGGCUUCCCCCUCCCGGCUGUGCGAACUCGACACCGGAGCCAUCGCGGCUGCCGGGCCCUCCGAGCCGCCGGAUCCCCUCAGCCGCUAGAAUAGGGGGCGCUCUCGCGAGCAGAGGGAACGCUCGAUUGCUUAGGAUCCCGGAGCCCGCCGUCGCGCCACCACCGAAUAGGAGGAAACUUUGAAAACAGUUCCGGGUACGUCGGCAAAUCCCUUCCCCCGACCUAGGUGGUCCGGCCGUCGGGACAGGAUGUGUGUACAGGUUCUCUAUGGAAACCAAAUGUGGGGACGCCCAGGUGGUUCAGUCGUUUGACCAUUAAACUCCUGAUUUUGGCUCCGGUCCGGAUCCAAGGCUCGUGGGAUCC
Suricata suricatta (meerkat) is the source of this 976-nucleotide long non-coding RNA. RefSeq lists it as uncharacterized. The record is from RefSeq and is a predicted model, not a curated record. The transcript is spliced from 3 exons. NCBI's taxonomy places the organism in Eukaryota, Metazoa, Chordata, Mammalia, Carnivora, Herpestidae.